This 1143-nucleotide long non-coding RNA is filed under the name Papio anubis (olive baboon). Its description in RNAcentral is "lncRNA (ENSPANG00000051438.1)". Lineage: Eukaryota; Metazoa; Chordata; Mammalia; Primates; Cercopithecidae. The record is from RNAcentral.
AUGAUGCCCAGCACAGCAUUGGACACUGCAAAAGUACUUAGUGACAGAGGAAGCAGAAGAGUCAGUGUCAGAGUGCUGCAUGUGAGAAAGACUCCACUGGCUUUGAAGCUGGAAGAAGAGGCCACCAGUCAAGGAAUGCAGGUGGCAUCUGGAAGCUGCAAAGGCAAGAAAAUGGAUUCUCCCGCAGGACCUCUGCAAAGGAACACAGCCCUGCUGACAUCUUGAUACUGGUCCAGGAGACUCAUUUUGGACUUCUGAGCUCCAGAGCUGUAAAAUAAUAAAUGUGUUGUUUUGAACUACUAGAUUUGUGAUAAUUCGUUACAGUGAAAAUAGGAAAUGAAUACAGGGCCCAAGCAUUAGUUAUUUUUAAAAGGUACCAGGUAAUUCUAAUAUGCAGCCAGAUUGAGAACCUCUAAUUCUGAUGAAUGGCUGCUCAUUAGAAUCCCCUAAGAAGUUUUUGAUAUCAUAUCUUCCAUCUACCACCAGGGAUCCAAAUUCACUUUCAAAGUAUCAACUUAUUUAAUCCCUAUAACAACCUUAUAAGAUAGAAAUCAUUAUCAGAAGCACAGCUUUUUUAAGAAAGUUGUCCAAUGUUAUCCAGCUAUUAAGUGAUAAACUUUAAACCUGCACAGGCUGGCUCCCAUAACCACAGUCAUGUUGGCUUAAAUGCUUGUGUUGGGUCUGUUUAGUACCAUUUUAAAAUAUCAUUACAAUUACUGGUUAUUUUCUGAGUUCCCUUUUCUUUUUCUUUUUGCAAGCUCCGCCUCCUGGGUUUACGCCAUUCUCCUGCCACAGCUUCCCAAGUAGCUGGGACUACAGGCCCCCGCCACCUCGCCUGGCUAGUUUUUUGUAUCUUUUUUUAGUAGAGACGGGAUUUCACCGUGUUAGCCAGGAUGGUCUCUAUCUCCUGACCUCGUGAUCCGCCCGUCUCGGUCUCCCAAAGUGCUGGGAUUACAGGCUUGAGCCACUGCCCCCGGCCUGAGUUCCCUUUUCACAGGAAAAGCAGGAAAUUAGAAAUGAAAAGUGCCAGUAGAAAUAAAAACAUUGAUGGAAGGAUACUUAUGAUUGGGAAACUGAUUCUGAGGGAUGAGAAUUGAAAAUAUAAAAUCCUUCCAUGUUCAAAAAUCAUGGAAAUCUGAGGUU